Molecule: ribosomal RNA, 1176 nt
Filed under: Proteus mirabilis
Lineage: Bacteria; Pseudomonadati; Pseudomonadota; Gammaproteobacteria; Enterobacterales; Morganellaceae
Description: bacterial LSU rRNA
Rfam family: Bacterial large subunit ribosomal RNA
Source: RNAcentral
GCUGAAGCCAGUCGAAGAUACCAGCUGGCUGCAACUGUUUAUUAAAAACACAGCACUGUGCAAACACGAAAGUGGACGUAUACGGUGUGACGCCUGCCCGGUGCUGGAAGGUUAAUUGAUGGGGUUAGCGCAAGCGAAGCUCCUGAUCGAAGCCCCAGUAAACGGCGGCCGUAACUAUAACGGUCCUAAGGUAGCGAAAUUCCUUGUCGGGUAAGUUCCGACCUGCACGAAUGGCGUAAUGAUGGCCAGGCUGUCUCCACCCGAGACUCAGUGAAAUUGAACUCGCUGUGAAGAUGCAGUGUACCCGCGGCAAGACGGAAAGACCCCGUGAACCUUUACUAUAGCUUGACACUGAACAUUGAGCCUUGAUGUGUAGGAUAGGUGGGAGGCUUUGAAGUGUGGACGCCAGUCUGCAUGGAGCCAACCUUGAAAUACCACCCUUUAACGUUUGAUGUUCUAACCUAGGCCCAUAAACUGGGUCGGGGACCGUGUCUGGUGGGUAGUUUGACUGGGGCGGUCUCCUCCUAAAGAGUAACGGAGGAGCACGAAGGUUGGCUAAGCAUGGUCGGACAUCAUGCGGUUAGUGCAAAGGCAUAAGCCAGCUUGACUGCGAGAGUGACGGCUCGAGCAGGUACGAAAGUAGGUCUUAGUGAUCCGGUGGUUCUGAAUGGAAGGGCCAUCGCUCAACGGAUAAAAGGUACUCCGGGGAUAACAGGCUGAUACCGCCCAAGAGUUCAUAUCGACGGCGGUGUUUGGCACCUCGAUGUCGGCUCAUCACAUCCUGGGGCUGAAGUAGGUCCCAAGGGUAUGGCUGUUCGCCAUUUAAAGUGGUACGCGAGCUGGGUUUAGAACGUCGUGAGACAGUUCGGUCCCUAUCUGCCGUGGGCGUUGGAAGAUUGAGAGGGGUUGCUCCUAGUACGAGAGGACCGGAGUGAACGCACCACUGGUGUUCGGGUUGUCAUGCCAAUGGCAUUGCCCGGUAGCUAAGUGCGGAAGAGAUAACCGCUGAAAGCAUCUAAGCGGGAAACUUGCCUCGAGAUGAGUCUUCCCUGUCGCUUUAAGCGACCUAAAGGAACGUUUAAGACUAAGACGUUGAUAGGCUGGGUGUGUAAGCGUAGCGAUACGUUGAGCUAACCAGUACUAAUGAACCGUGAGGCUUAACCUGACAACACCGAA